Molecule: ribosomal RNA, 264 nt
Filed under: uncultured bacterium
Lineage: Bacteria
Description: partial 16S ribosomal RNA
Rfam family: Bacterial small subunit ribosomal RNA
Source: RNAcentral
CUUAGUGGCGGACGGGUGAGUAACGCGUGGGUAACCUGCCCCAUACCGGGGGAUACCGACCUGGAAACAGGUGCUAAUACCGCAUAAGCGCACGGGAGCGCAUGCUCCUGUGUGAAAAACUCCGGUGGUAUGGGAUGGACCCGCGUCUGAUUAGCCAGUUGGCAGGGUAACGGCCUACCAAAGCGACGAUCAGUAGCCGGCCUGAGAGGGUGGACGGCCACAUUGGGACUGAGACACGGCCCAAACUCCUACGGGAGGCAGCAG